Lingula anatina is the source of this 209-nucleotide long non-coding RNA. NCBI's taxonomy places the organism in Eukaryota, Metazoa, Brachiopoda, Lingulata, Lingulida, Lingulidae. The record is from RefSeq and is a predicted model, not a curated record.
UGGCCCUUGGGAGUCGUACUUUCCAAUUUUCACACAGGGAAAGGUCCCUUACGGCUCCUGGUUUGACCAUACCAAAGAGAUGUGCAAGGGAGUGGACAGUAAUUCCAAUUGCUUAUUUCUUACUUACGAAGAAAUGCUUAAGGAUUUACCAGCCGCUGUGAAAAAAAUAAAUUCCUUUCUUGGAUUUGAAAGAUCAGACGUAUUUUUGG